This 341-nucleotide ribosomal RNA is filed under the name Orfelia fasciata. RNAcentral describes it as "partial 16S ribosomal RNA". The record is from RNAcentral. Lineage: Eukaryota; Metazoa; Arthropoda; Insecta; Diptera; Keroplatidae.
UUUUUUAAUUGAAAGCUUGUAUGAAUGAUUGAAUGAAGUAUAUACUGUUUCAUAAAAAUUAAAUUAAAAUUUAAACUUUUAGUUAAAAAGCUAAAAUAAAAUUAAAGGACGAUAAGACCCUAUAAAGUUUUAUAAUUUUAAUAUAAUAAUAUUUUUAAUUUAAUUAAUAUUUUUAUAAUUAAAAUUAUUUUGUUGGGGAGAUAAUAAAAUUUACAAAACUUUUAUUUUUUAAAACAUUGAUUAAUGAUUUUAUGAUCCUAUAUUAUAGAUUAAAAAUUUAAAUUACUUUAGGGAUAACAGCGUUAUUUUUUUUUUAAGUUCUUAUUUAUAAGAAAGAUUGC